AUACGUAGGUGACAAGCGUUAUCCGGAUUUACUGGGCGUAAAGGGCGUGUAGGCGGUCUUGCAAGUCAGAAGUGAAAUUCCUGAGCUCAACUCGGGCGCUGCUUCUGAAGCUGCAGGACUUGAGUGCUGGAGGGGAUAGCGGAAUUCCUAGUGGAGCGGUAAAAUGCGCAGAUAUUAGGAAGAACACCGGUGGCGAAGGCGGCUAUCUGGACAGUAACUGACGCUGAGGCGCGAAAGCGUGGGGAGCAAACAGGAUUAGAUCCCCUGGUAGUCCACGCCGUAAACGAUGAAUACUAGGUGUAGGGGGUAUCGACUCCCUCUGUGCCGCAGUUAACACAAUAAGUAUUCCGCCUGGGGAGUACGGCCGCAAGGUUGAAACUCAAAUGAAUUGACGGGG
Molecule: ribosomal RNA, 397 nt
Filed under: uncultured bacterium
Lineage: Bacteria
Description: partial 16S ribosomal RNA
Rfam family: Bacterial small subunit ribosomal RNA
Source: RNAcentral